Molecule: ribosomal RNA, 533 nt
Filed under: Debaryomyces nepalensis
Lineage: Eukaryota; Fungi; Ascomycota; Pichiomycetes; Serinales; Debaryomycetaceae
Description: LSU rRNA
Rfam family: Eukaryotic large subunit ribosomal RNA
Source: RNAcentral
AAACCAACAGGGAUUGCCUUAGUAACGGCGAGUGAAGCGGCAAAAGCUCAAAUUUGAAAUCUGGCACCUUCGGUGUCCGAGUUGUAAUUUGAAGAAGGUAACUUUGGAGUUGGCUCUUGUCUAUGUUCCUUGGAACAGGACGUCACAGAGGGUGAGAAUCCCGUGCGAUGAGAUGCCCAAUUCUAUGUAAAGUGCUUUCGAAGAGUCGAGUUGUUUGGGAAUGCAGCUCUAAGUGGGUGGUAAAUUCCAUCUAAAGCUAAAUAUUGGCGAGAGACCGAUAGCGAACAAGUACAGUGAUGGAAAGAUGAAAAGAACUUUGAAAAGAGAGUGAAAAAGUACGUGAAAUUGUUGAAAGGGAAGGGCUUGAGAUCAGACUUGGUAUUUUGCGAUCCUUUCCUUCUUGGUUGGGUUCUCCGCAGCUUACUGGGCCAGCAUCGGUUUGGAUGGUAGGAUAAUGAUUAAGGAAUGUGGCUCUACUUCGGUGGAGUGUUAUAGCCUUGGUUGAUACUGCCUGUCUAGACCGAGGACUGCGU